RNAcentral lists this ribosomal RNA (464 nucleotides) under uncultured bacterium. Its description in RNAcentral is "partial 16S ribosomal RNA". It matches the Rfam family "Bacterial small subunit ribosomal RNA", at positions 28 to 506 of the family's 1533-position model. The record is from RNAcentral.
GACGAACGCUGGCGGCGUGCUUAACACAUGCAAGUCGAACGGAAAGGCCCUGCUUGCAGGGUACUCGAGUGGCGAACGGGUGAGUAACACGUGGGUGAUCUGCCCUGCACUUCGGGAUAAGCCUGGGAAACUGGGUCUAAUACCGGGUAGGAGCCAUUUUUAGUGUGAUGGUUGGAAAGUUUUUUCGGUGUAGGAUGAGCUCGCGGCCUAUCAGCUUGUUGGUGGGGUAAUGGCCUACCAAGGCGGCGACGGGUAGCCGGCCUGAGAGGGUGGACGGCCACAUUGGGACUGAGAUACGGCCCAGACUCCUACGGGAGGCAGCAGUGGGGAAUAUUGCACAAUGGGCGCAAGCCUGAUGCAGCGACGCCGCGUGGGGGAUGACGGCCUUCGGGUUGUAAACUCCUUUCGCUAGGGACGAAGCUUUUUGUGACGGUACCUAGAUAAGAAGCACCGGCUAACUACGU